GACAGUGUGGUAUAGUGGUUUGAACAAUUGAUUGUGACUCUGGAGACUGGGGUUUGACUCCUCACUUAGCCA
Molecule: non-coding RNA, 72 nt
Organism: Phrynosoma platyrhinos (Desert horned lizard)
Lineage: Eukaryota; Metazoa; Chordata; Lepidosauria; Squamata; Phrynosomatidae
Source: the annotation of a GenBank genome assembly